RNAcentral lists this ribosomal RNA (409 nucleotides) under uncultured Methylomirabilota bacterium. Its description in RNAcentral is "bacterial SSU rRNA". It matches the Rfam family "Bacterial small subunit ribosomal RNA", at positions 1026 to 1434 of the family's 1533-position model. The record is from RNAcentral. Lineage: Bacteria; Methylomirabilota (SeqCode).
GCGUGGAGACAGGUGGUGCAUGGCUGUCGUCAGCUCGUGUCGAGAGAUGUUGGGUUAAGUCCCGCAACGAGCGCAACCCUCACCCCUAGUUGCCACCGGGUAAAGCCGAGCACUCGAGGGGAACUGCCAGCGUCAAGCUGGAGGAAGGCGGGGAUGACGUCAAGUCAUCAUGCCCCUUACGUCCUGGGCUACACACGUGCUACAAUGGCCAGUACAAAGGGAUGCGAGACCGCGAGGUGGAGCUAAUCCCAAAAAGCUGGUCUAAGUUCAGAUUGCAGUCUGCAACUCGACUGCAUGAAGGAGGAAUCGCUAGUAAUCGCGCAUCAGCCCGGCGCGGUGAAUACGUUCCCGGGCCUUGUACACACCGCCCGUCACACCACGAAAGCUUACUGUACUCGAAGUCGCUGAG